UUGCACCAAUUAUCUACCACUAAAUUACCCCAUUCAAUUAAACUAAUUGUUCUUAUCCUACAACUUUGUAGUGUUAGCAGCUCAUGACUCAACUUCAAACAAAAUUGAAACCCUAAACCCUCUUCACUGUUACGGAGCUGCUCCACCCAUCGCGACACCAAAUCGAUCAAAGAAAACCAUUUUUUACUCUCCAAUUCAAGAGAUUCCUUUUCAGUCGGGAAGGAGAUAGUGACAUUGAAGGCGGCGGUGGCGGUGGAGCUGACACCUUUUGUUCUCCGAUUGGCCGUAAAUAUCGUUCCGUGUUGGCUAACGAUCGUGCUCUACUUGAGAUGUCUUCCAUAGAUCCACUAUCUUAUUCUUCCUCAACAUUUCCAGAUCAACCUCAUAAUCUCAGUCUGUAACAGCUAUGGUCCAGCAGGCUAUGCAAUAUAUUGAUGAGACACCUGAUAUUGAAACUCAUAUUGAACUUAUCAAAACAUUGAACAGUGUAUCUGCAGGGAAGAUCUAUGUUGAGAUUGAGAGAGUUCGGUUGGUCAAGAAACUUGCCAAGAUUAAGGAAGAACAAAGUUAUGAUGAUGCAACUCAACUGAAAAUGCUUAGGAGCUUAACCUUACUCAAACCAUAAGUAGUGCUUUCCUUCCACGGUUCAGGUAAGUUGAUACUCACAUUCCUAAAUGCUAAAUAUGUUCUCAGUUUUCAUCGCAUGAUCUAGUUCAACAAGAAAUUAGUAAUAGGUGUGGGAAUAUGAUUUUUACAAUUUUGAUUCUAGUUCAAAUCCUUAUAGGUAUCCCAAAAUUCAACCUUAUAGGUAUCCUUCUUAUUGUCACAACUCAAUUAUUUGCGUAUGGGUUGGUUGGUGCAUUGGAUUAAGGAAUAGCCUGUUCUGUUUCAGAAUACAGGGCACAACUAUAUGAUUAUCUCAAGAGUAGGAUGAACACCAUAGCACCCAAUUUGACUGCUAUGGUUGGGGAGCUUGUCGGCGCUCGUCUCAUUGCCCAUGGUGGUAGCUUAAUAAAUCUUGCAAAGCAGCCUGGUACGCAAUAAGUAUCAAAUUCUACUUUCACAUCAAGCCUCCCAUUCAAUUAUCAUAUAUUGGCUUAAAAUUUCUAUAAGCAAUAACUGCAUAAAAGGGAUCUGACCCUGAAAACAAUUCAAAGAGCUUCAUGAUCCAGCCAGCCAGUGAGUUUUCUCCAUCAUUAGGUGGUGGAAGCUUUCUAAUUACCUCUGGCUCUGUGAAACCUUCCACUGAUUGGAAGUACUGAACCACAAACUGAACCCUACUGUAAGCAGUUCCUUCCCUCCAUGCACUUAUGGCUUUCUCGUAAAACAUUAUGUUGCUAAAACUCACUAUGAACACCCCUCCUGGUUUUAGCAACCUAAAUACCUCUGCAAAUACCUGUGAAUUCUCUCUUUAUUAAGUUUUUGUAUCUAAUUGUUUUUCACGGAAAAGUUAAAUCGCUACUUUAGUUAAAGGCUUUAACAAUUUGCAAUGCCACUACCUUCCCUGUUAGUUUUUUGUAAUGGAUUCGGAGCUUGGCUGUUUCCACCCUGCCAUUUGGGAUUGACAGCCUAGGUUAAAAUAAAAACCAUGGCUUAGUUGCCAUGUCAUCUUAUUCUUGUUAGUAAUGGAACUGAUUCAAUAAGCACACUUAGCUUUCUUACCUUCAAAUUUUGUCUAGGUUGAUGUGAAUGGUGGAACAAACAUGAACGGCGAAUUGCUACUCUCGAGUUUGACCGUGACACGAAGUCAAUGGGUGUUAUUGUUGACACUGGUACGGGGGAAAAUUUGAUGCUGGUUAAGUGCUACCUUACCUACCGCUGGUGAUGAUGGGUGAGCACCAUGCUGUGAUGAAAGCGGUUUGAUGAAAGGACCUUGGACACCACACAGGGUACACCCCUCCCUGUAAUACUGAUUGCUACUGCUAGGG
Long non-coding RNA from Vicia villosa (hairy vetch), 1928 nucleotides. RefSeq lists it as uncharacterized. The record is from RefSeq and is a predicted model, not a curated record. The transcript is spliced from 4 exons. NCBI's taxonomy places the organism in Eukaryota, Viridiplantae, Streptophyta, Magnoliopsida, Fabales, Fabaceae.